RNAcentral lists this ribosomal RNA (501 nucleotides) under uncultured bacterium. RNAcentral's name for it is "partial 16S ribosomal RNA". It matches the Rfam family "Bacterial small subunit ribosomal RNA", at positions 28 to 507 of the family's 1533-position model. The record is from RNAcentral.
GACGAACGCUGGCGGCGUGCUUAACACAUGCAAGUCGAACGGUGAAGCACCUUCCUUUUGGUGGGUGUGGAUGAGUGGCGAACGGGUGAGUAACACGUGAGUAACCUGCCCCCUUCUUCUGGAUAACCGCAUGAAAGUGUGGCUAAUACGGGAUAUUCUGUGCCUGCUGCAUGGUGGGUGUGGGAAAGAUGCGCUUUUGGGUGUUUUUGGUGGGGGAUGGGCUCGCGGCGUAUCAGCUUGUUGGUGGGGUGAUGGCCUACCAAGGCGGUGACGGGUAGCCGGCCUGAGAGGGUGGGCGGUCACACUGGGACUGGGACACUGCCGAGACUCCUACGGGAGGCAGCAGUGGGGAAUAUUGCACAAUGGGCGCAAGCCUGAUGCAGCGACGCCGCGUGAGGGAUGGAGGCCUUCGGGUUGUAAACCUCUUUCGCCAGUGAAGCAGGCCUGUCCCUUGUGGGUGGGUUGACGGUAGCUGGAUAAGAAGCGCCGGCUAACUACGUG